GGCUCGGUGGUCUAGGUGUAUAAUGCUUGCUUCAGGUGUGAGAGGUCCUGGGUUCAAAUCACAGAUGAGCCC
Molecule: non-coding RNA, 72 nt
Organism: Danionella cerebrum
Lineage: Eukaryota; Metazoa; Chordata; Actinopteri; Cypriniformes; Danionidae
Source: the annotation of a GenBank genome assembly